AUCCCCCUCCGGCAGCGCUAGGCCGUGCCGCGGGGAGGCGAAGGGGGCCAGGCCACCCGCCGUUGGGGAGGCUGGUGUGGUCCCCGGGGCCAGGCCAGGGCUGAGUGGGGGUGGAGGUGGCGGCGGCGGCGCCGAAGCCCCUGGGGCGGGCUGGAGCUGUUGUUGAUGAUGGUGGUGAUGAUGCUGAGAGCGACGCGACGCCGCCAUCUUCGGACUCCCCCAGCACUGUCACUGCGGCAACGGCCCCACCGCCCGCCCUCACUUCCGACCGCUAGGCCAAUUAGCAUCCAGCGCACAGGAAAUGAUGCGGAGCGGAGUGGGAGGGGCCAAAGAGAAGGAGGGAAGUAUUGGGAGCUCAGAGGAAAGCCGAUGAACGGGGCGUGGCUUUGUGACCGAGGGGCGGGUUUUGUGAAUGAGGGGCGGGCUUUGUGAAGCCUUGGCGGGCCGGCUGCGGAGAUUUGAAAGUUGGAGCAGACCACUCCAUAAAUGAGGCACUUUUCUUUCCUCCAUUCUCGCUUUCAGUUUGCUUGCCUUGCCCUGCUUGGUUCUGUCGCCACGUCUCCUUUAGUCUUCCGUAUCUUGCUCCGGAGCGUGCUCCUAAGGCGUAACUCAGUGCAAGAAGGGACUGUAUCGCUUAUCAUGUCUCAGGUGGCCUUGUCUGAGAAAUGGAACUUCUGUCGUCAACAUGAGAUUAGAAGCAUGGCCUAGUGAGUUCGCUGGUCCAAGAAAGACCUGAGCCCAUCCUGCUGCCUGGAGCCCAGCCCCUGUUGAGAAGACCCCUCAUGUGACCCACAGAUGAAUGGGCAAAGAAAUUCUAUGCUCCAAUGUGCCCGGAGAUAUGAAGCAUGACAAGAACUACCACCCAAGCAGUUGUCAGAAUGAAAAGGCUUUGACAGCGGCUCCUCCAGGGGCUUGCCCUUCUCCCGCAAGCCAUCAACAAUGAAGAUGCUCCUGGGAUGGAAGGAUGGUGACUUUCCAGGCAGAAACUGUUUUCAGAAUCUGUACUUGUUUACUCAAAGGGGAUAUCAAAGAAAAAAGUUAAGGCAUUUCUUGAAUGAGGAAGAAAAGUGAAUGACAAGUAGAUUCGAAACUGAAAGCAAUAAAAUGAAUGUGGCUUUAAAAAAAAAUGCUUUUAAACAAGCGCCCUCCAGCAUCUCAAGAGCAUCAUGACCAGAGAGCAGAGUGCUGUUCUGCCAUCAGAGGAGGACGAGUAGAUCCUGAAUGCGGCCCGAGAGAGACACAAUUCAGAGCUAGGUGGUACCAAGGCCACUUAAACCUGGACAGCUGCAGUGAAAGGUGCAAUCCAGAAACAUAUUCGGAGUUGGCCUUGAUUUAAAAGGAAAACCUAAUGAGAAUUUUAAAGCAUGCAAUGGUACCACACUAUUGUCCCGUUCCUAGUCCUUAGGGCCUUGUGGGAGGUCAUUUUGCUGUGGGAGGUGGUGAUAAAAUGGCAGCGAGGAAGGAAUCCAGGACAAAAAAUAAUGCCUUGGUUUCCACGGGUAGGAACUUAAGCUCCAUUCUCUUCUCACCUGAGAGUCUCUCUAGCAUGUUCCUGGGUGAUGCUCUGGUGUCUUUGAAGCUUCGAGGGUAAGCUACACACAAGGUGGGGGGACGGAGUUUAGAGGGACUAGGUUAGGAUGUUCCAAUGGGGGCAGAGCUGGUGACCUCUGAAGGCUUCUCUGAUAAGAAGAAUCUCUGAUUCUACCAAUAAGCAACCAGAAACAAGUGCCCCCAGGAUCCCACUGUAAGCGAAGGGAGAGAAUUCUCUUUUCCUCUAGAGAAAAGUACCUUAAGCACACUGACCCUCUAGGGAGUGCCUACCCCACCUACUGGGACCUGCAGUUCCAAAUACCCAGCAGGAAAGACAAAUGAGAUUCUGAAAUAGUUGUGAAGAGAUUCCUUUCUGUACUUAAAAAAAAUUUUUUUAACGUUUAUUAUUGAGAGAGAGAGAGAGAGAGAGAGAGAGAAUGAGAGAGCAGGGGAGGGGCAGAGAGAGAAGGAGACACAGAAUCCAAAGCAGGUUCCAGGCUCUGAGCUGUCAGCACAGAGCCCGACGCAGGACUCGAACCCACGAUCUGCAAGAUCAUGACCUGAGCCGAAAUUGGACCCUCAACCAACUCAACUGAGUCACUCAGGUGCCCCCCUUUCUUUACUUUUGAGGUGUAAUGGAUAUAUAACAUAUUAAUUUCAGGUGCACAACAUAAUGAUUUGGCGUUUGCAUAUAUUGCAAAAUGAUCGCCACAGUGUCUGGUUAUGACAGCCAUCAUCACACACAGCCACUGCUUUUCUUUUCUUGUGAUGAGAACGUUUAAGAUCCACUCUCAGCAACUUUCGAACAUGCAAUACAGUAUUAACUAUAGUUGCUACGCUGUCCAUCACAUUCCCAGUACUUACUUUAUUUUAUAGCUGGAAGGUUGUACCUUUUGGCCUCCUUCAUCCGAUUCGCCCACCUUUCAUGGAAAAGAUUCCUUUUU
This is a long non-coding RNA of Acinonyx jubatus (cheetah), 2474 nucleotides long. RefSeq lists it as uncharacterized. The record is from RefSeq and is a predicted model, not a curated record. The transcript is spliced from 5 exons. NCBI's taxonomy places the organism in Eukaryota, Metazoa, Chordata, Mammalia, Carnivora, Felidae.